Molecule: unclassified non-coding RNA, 164 nt
Filed under: uncultured Trichoderma
Lineage: Eukaryota; Fungi; Ascomycota; Sordariomycetes; Hypocreales; Hypocreaceae
Description: sequence contains ITS1
Source: RNAcentral
CCGAGUUUACAACUCCCAAACCCAAUGUGAACCAUACCAAACUGUUGCCUCGGCGGGGUCACGCCCCGGGUGCGUCGCAGCCCCGGAACCAGGCGCCCGCCGGAGGGACCAACCAAACUCUUGAAUUGUAUGGCCUCUCUGAGUCUUCUGUACUGAAUAAGUCA